CAGCAUGAUGGAAAAGUGGAGAAGCUGCCCCAGAGAGACCAGAGAAAGAAGAAGAAGCAAACGUUCUCCCUGAACCCUCGGAUA
Molecule: small nucleolar RNA, 84 nt
Organism: Raphanus sativus (radish)
Lineage: Eukaryota; Viridiplantae; Streptophyta; Magnoliopsida; Brassicales; Brassicaceae
Source: RefSeq, a predicted model, not a curated record